AACGAACGCUGGCGGCAUGCCUAACACAUGCAAGUCGAACGAACCCUUCGGGGUGAGUGGCGCACGGGUGAGUAACGCGUGGGAAUUUACCUAUCGGUACGGAAUAACCUCGGGAAACUGUGGCUAAUACCGUAUACGUCCUUCGGGAGAAAGAUUUAUCGCCGAUAGAUGAGCCCGCGUUGGAUUAGGUUGUUGGUGGGGUAAUGGCCCACCAAGCCUUCGAUCCAUAGCUGGUCUGAGAGGAUGAUCAGCCACACUGGGACUGAGACACGGCCCAG
Molecule: ribosomal RNA, 278 nt
Filed under: uncultured bacterium
Lineage: Bacteria
Description: partial 16S ribosomal RNA
Rfam family: Bacterial small subunit ribosomal RNA
Source: RNAcentral